UGAGGGAUAUUGCACAAUGGGGGAAACCCUGAUGCAGCGACGCCGCGUGGGUGAUGACGGUCUUCGGAUUGUAAAACCCUUUUGCCACUGACGAGAACGGACGGUAGGUGGCGAAUAAGCCUCGGCUAACUACGUGCCAGCAGCCGCGGUAAAACGUAGGAGGCAAGCGUUAUCCGGAGUUACUGGGCGUAAAGCGUGCGUAGGCGGUUUGUAAGUGGGACGUGAAAGCUCCGGGCUAAACCUGGAGAGGACGACUCAGACUGCGAGACUAGAGCGGCUCAGAGGCGCGUGGAAUUCGGGGUGUAGCGGUGAAAUGUGUAGAGAUCCCGAGGAACACCGAGUGGGGCAACCGGCGCGCUGGGAGCAGGCUGACGCUGAGGCACGAAAGCGUGGGAGCAAA
This 400-nucleotide ribosomal RNA is filed under the name uncultured bacterium. RNAcentral describes it as "bacterial SSU rRNA". It matches the Rfam family "Bacterial small subunit ribosomal RNA", at positions 355 to 772 of the family's 1533-position model. The record is from RNAcentral.